GACGAACGCUGGCGGCGUGCCUAAUACAUGCAAGUCGAACGCUUUUUCUUUCACCGGAGCUUGCUCCACCGAAAGAAAAAGAGUGGCGAACGGGUGAGUAACACGUGGGUAACCUGCCCAUCAGAAGGGGAUAACACUUGGAAACAGGUGCUAAUACCGUAUAACACUAUUUUCCGCAUGUAAGAAAGUUGAAAGGCGCUUUUGCGUCACUUAUGGAUGGACCCGCGGUGCAUUAGCUAGUUGGUGAGGUAACGGCUCACCAAGGCAACGAUGCAUAGCCGACCUGAGAGGGUGAUCGGCCACACUGGGACUGAGACACGGCCCAGACUCCUACGGGAGGCAGCAGUAGGGAAUCUUCGGCAAUGGACGAAAGUCUGACCGAGCAACGCCGCGUGAGUGAAGAAGGUUUUCGGAUCGUAAAACUCUGUUGUUAGAGAAGAACAAGGAUGAGAGUAGAACGUUCAUCCCUUGACGGUAUCUAACCAGAAAGCCACGGCUAACUACGUGCCAGCCGCCGCAGUAA
This 523-nucleotide ribosomal RNA is filed under the name uncultured bacterium. Its description in RNAcentral is "partial 16S ribosomal RNA". It matches the Rfam family "Bacterial small subunit ribosomal RNA", at positions 28 to 523 of the family's 1533-position model. The record is from RNAcentral.